Molecule: non-coding RNA, 914 nt
Organism: Salvelinus sp. IW2-2015
Lineage: Eukaryota; Metazoa; Chordata; Actinopteri; Salmoniformes; Salmonidae
Source: RefSeq, a predicted model, not a curated record
AGCUUUAUUUUUAGGCUAAUAUGAAUAGGCCUAUUAUGCCCAUGCACAUUUGAAGCACCAGGAGGAGAUGUUUCUCAAAUUUCAAUUAAGUUCAAUCACUCUUUAUAUAAGGAUCAUACCGGUACUAUCCAGUUCAGCAUGUGUAUUUUCUUGAAAGUUUGUUAAAGCAUACUGUGGGCGACAUCUGACAACUGACACGUACUGGGCUCACUCAAACUUCGCGACAAUGCAUAUUAUUAUCACAAAGUUGAGUAGAUCAUUGCAGCAUGCUCAGGAAAGUGGCAGAUAUGCAGCACAGCAUCUGGACUGAUCAUUACCCUGAGAAAACACCACAUCAAGCUGAGAGUGACAGUUUUGUAAGGCCCAUCCCUAGCAAAACAGAGAGAAUAAAAGGACUCAACAGCUACAGGACACCAGGAGUGCCUGUUACUUGUGCUAAUCUACCUGUGCAAGUGUCUGAAAGCCCUAAGGAUCCUUGAGUUAUCUCUGGUCGUGUUAAGAAAAAUGGUCAAGUGGAUGAUUUCUACACUCAUGGGACUGACCAGAGAUCUACCCGCCCAGGAUGUGUCUCUACAGUGGUGAAGAAAAUGUAUGAGUCUUCAGGGGAUCACCAAUCCAAAAUGGCGGUGUAACAGGGUACAAGAGAGAGGCAAAAUGGAACAUUGCUACCUACAGAAGAGAUGAAGAGGCCCCAAAUCUUAAAUUAACCAUGGCUCAAAGUCAGGAGUCGAAAGGCCUCCCACUUCCUGUCACCCAGCGACUUCCUGUUACCCAGUGUGUGAGUGAACUUGCAGCUCCUCGUCAACAAAUGAAAAUGACCUUUGACAGAAGAAGAGGGGCUGGGAUGGAGCAUGUGAAAUAUACUGUGUUUCUUCAGGUCUUAAUCGUCACUGCACUAAUUCAAGACUCUGAUG